Molecule: ribosomal RNA, 610 nt
Filed under: uncultured bacterium
Lineage: Bacteria
Description: bacterial SSU rRNA
Rfam family: Bacterial small subunit ribosomal RNA
Source: RNAcentral
GUCGAGCGGAAUGACGAGAGCUUGCUCUCUGAUUUUAGCGGCGGACGGGUGAGUAACACGUGGGCAACCUGCCCUACAGAUGGGGAUAACUCCGGGAAACCGGGGCUAAUACCGAAUAAUCAGUUUGUCCGCAUGGACAAACUCUGAAAGACGGUUUCGGCUGUCACUGUAGGAUGGGCCCGCGGCGCAUUAGCUAGUUGGUGGGGUAUGGCCUACCAAGGCAACGAUGCGUAGCCGACCUGAGAGGGUGAUCGGCCACACUGGGACUGAGACACGGCCCAGACUCCUACGGGAGGCAGCAGUAGGGAAUCUUCCACAAUGGACGAAAGUUUGAUGGAGCAAUGCCGCGUGAGCGAAGAAGGUUUUCGGAUCGUAAAGCUCUGUUGCAAGGGAAGAACACGUACGGGAGUAACUGCCCGUGCCAUGACGGUACCUUAUUAGAAAGCCACGGCUAACUACGUGCCAGCAGCCGCGGUAAUACGUAGGUGGCAAGCGUUGUCCGGAAUUAUUGGGCGUAAAGCGCGCGCAGGCGGUUCUUUAAGUCUGAUGUGAAAGCCCACGGCUCAACCGUGGAGGGUCAUUGGAAACUGGAGAACUUGAGUACAGAAGA